Molecule: ribosomal RNA, 448 nt
Filed under: Mesenchytraeus laojunensis
Lineage: Eukaryota; Metazoa; Annelida; Clitellata; Enchytraeida; Enchytraeidae
Description: partial 16S ribosomal RNA
Rfam family: Bacterial large subunit ribosomal RNA
Source: RNAcentral
AACGGCCGCGGUAUCCUAACCGUGCAAAGGUAGCAUAAUAAUUUGCCCAUUAAUUGUGGGCUAGAAUGAACGGGGUAACGAAAUAAGCACUGUCUCAGCAAAAUUAAUAUAAACUAGUAUCCAAGUGAAGAAACUUAGAUAAAAUUACAGGACAAGAAGACCCUAUAGAGCUUUAUCUUUCUAUACUUAAGUAAAACAAAGAUUCGGUUGGGGCGACCAUGGAAAUAAACAUCCACAAAAAUAAAGAAAACAAAUCAAUUUAUAGAUCCUAUUAAGAUCACAGAAUCAAGCUACCUUAGGGAUAACAGGCUAAUCCUAUUUAAGAGCUCUUAUCAACAAUAGGGAUUGGCACCUCGAUGUUGGCUUAGAAUAUCUAUAUGGCGCAGAAGUCAUAUAAAGAAGGUUUGUUCAACCUAUAACAUUCUACGUGAUCUGAGUUCAGACCGGA